CCUACGGGGGGCAGCAGUGGGGAAUAUUGGGCAAUGGGCGAAAGCCUGACCCAGCCACGCCGCGUGAGUGAUGAAGGCCUUCGGGUCGUAAAGCUCUGUGGGGAGGGACGAACAAGCCUGGGGCUAAUCACCCGGGCUCUGACGGUACCUCCUUAGCAAGCACCGGCUAACCCUGUGCCAGCAGCCGCGGUAAUACAGGGGGUGCAAACGUUGCUCGGAAUUAUUGGGCGUAAAGCGCGCGUAGGCGGUCUUUUAAGUCGGAUGUGAAAGCCCUCGGCUCAACCGGGGAAGUGCAUCCGAAACUAAAAGGCUUGAGUAUUGGAGAGGGUCGCGGAAUUCCCAGUGUAGAGGUGAAAUUCGUAGAUAUUGGGAGGAACACCGGCGGCGAAGGCGGCGACCUGGCCAGAUACUGACGCUGAGGCGCGAAAGCGUGGGGAGCA
RNAcentral lists this ribosomal RNA (440 nucleotides) under uncultured bacterium. RNAcentral's name for it is "bacterial SSU rRNA". It matches the Rfam family "Bacterial small subunit ribosomal RNA", at positions 338 to 770 of the family's 1533-position model. The record is from RNAcentral.